CCAGGCCACGGAAGAGCAGCCUCUGCUGGCAGCGGCCCCAGAGACAGCCCGGACCACCCUUCCCCCGCCCCAGGCGGCACCAGGACCCUGGAGGGCGCUGGGGGUGGAGACCCCACAGGUGAGGCCCCUCUCCUCCCUUCCUCCGGGUCCCCGCAGGUGCCGGGCCAGGCCAUCAGACCGUGCCCCCACCCACGCUGGGCGGAAGGCCGGCAGCCCUCAGGCCCGCCCUGCCUUACUCGCUGGGGCUCAAGAUGGCUGUCGAAGCCUGGCUCCCAACCCAAACUUCCGGAUGCUGGUGCCACCGCCGGCCUCGUGACCACCCCCCCCCAGCCCCUCCCUCCCCCUGAGAAUUCCAAGCAGGUCCUGGGUCCCAACCCAGCUUUACAAAAAAGGACUGGCUGGUGCCUCGGACCCAGGGCUCUGAGGCCAGAGUUGGGGCAGAAGGACCCCUCUGUCCUCCGUCCUCCCUGCCCACUUCGGGCCCCAGCUCUCUUCUGAGUGCCCUCUGAGAGCCAGGGCAGCUCCAGACCCUGGAGAUGGGAAGGCCCUGAGGGAACCAGAUGAUGAGGAGGCUUGGGGGCUGGACACAUCAGGGCAGGGGUUGCUGGCGACCCAGAGGCCGGAGUACUAGGAAAGGAGCAGGGCAUGGGGUAGGGUGAGGGUGACCCAGGAAGGCCUCUCUGAGCAGGCAGCCCAGCAGGGACUAGCCGGAAGCCAAGCAGAAGGACCUAGAGGCCAGAGGCGGCCCAGGUGCCAUUGAGGAGGGCUUCCUGGUACAGCCCCAGCAAAGGUGCCAACUCUCCAGGGGGGGAGGUGGGCCUGACCUGCUGGGAGACCCCAACCACCAGCGCAGGAGGAUCCCUGCGCUUUUACCCAGAGCAGAGCAGCUGCCCAGUGUACCCGAGCCAAGUACAUCUAAGCCCAGAGACAGCCUGGCCACCCAGCUGCCCUGGGGAGACGCGUGCGCCCUGCAGCUCUGGCGGGUUAAUGAUUGGCUGCCUUGCUCCAGGCUGUGGAGGCAACUGAGCACCCAGCCCCAGGCCAUCGUGGGAAAGGCCACUGGGCUGGCACCCACACCAGUUUUUUGGGUUAUGAGGCAGUUUUUGAGUUUGAGCCUAGAUGUCAUGAUAUUGCCACUUGGGCAGCACCCCUCCCAGCGGUGGGGGGUAGUCACAGAGGAGCAGGGGGUGGGCCAGCCCAGCUGGGAGCCUCCGAGGGGCCUGGGUCUCGAAAAGUGAUGUGGGAGGGGGCGUGGGCUCCCAAGGGGGACAGUGCAGGGUUCGGGCUCAGGCUGAGGGAGAGCAAGUGGCCUGCGGGUGACCAGGGCCCCACUGCCCCCCGCCAGGUCAGCUCCUAAGAUCAGGACAGCCCUCAUCAAGGACUUGGCUAGAGGAGCAGCCCCUACCCCCAGGGCAAAGCGUCUCAGCCACAGACUGGCAUGACCACACAGGCAGGCAGGUGGCCGGGGCUGCGUCAGGCUCUGACCAGGGUCAGGAUGGCCUCCCCCUAGUGGGGGUUGCUGCACGGGACCCUCAAAGUUCGGAGCGGUAAAGGGGUGGAUUCACGUCCUGGGGUGGCCACAGAGAGUUACACAAACGCCGUGUGUUCCCUCAGAGUCCCCGGCCAGGAGCCAGGCAUCAGCGCCGCACUCCCACCCCAGGCUCCAGGGAGGGUCCUGCCCGCCUCUUCUGAAGCCAGGGCUCAGGGCCUCCCGGGUGUGGCCGCCUCCCUCCAGCCUACUCCCCCCGCCCCCCAUCUUCGGUCAGCCUGUCCCCUCUCUGUCCGCCUCCCUCUCGUGAGGACACUGGUCACUGGAUGGAGGGCGCAUCAGCCAAAGCCCAUCGGCAAGGCCCUUCUUCCCAGUGAGGCUGCGGCCGCAGGUUCGGGGCUCAGGACGAGGACACACACGGGGACCGCGUCCACCCCACAAGAAGCACCCUGAGAAGAGACUCUGGUGACUGCAAGGCUUGGAGGGUGGAGGGGGCGCUGGGCAGGGCCCUGGAGGGGAGCCCCCUCCACCCCUUGGGGGGCGCGGUUUCACCAAGUCCCCGCCUCCUGGACCGUGACAUGCCAACUCCACACACUGGGGCUGUGACGAGGGGAGAAACAGAGCAGGAAAAGCCCAGUGAGCAGGAAAUGUUAUGGGGUCAAGUCGGGGUCUGGGCCCGGCUCUGGGGGUUUUGAGAAGGCUCAGGAAUGCUCUGGGAGGAUGGAGGGCCCAGGCGGACCCCUUCUCCAGCCUCAGUCGCUCCCCACUCCACCCCCGCCCGCCCCUGCGGCGCUAGCCUCCUGCCCCUCCCAAUCCACCUGCUCUCCUGGGGCUGUGGUUGCUGGGAGACGGUUGCCUGGUCACCACUGUUGUUUCCCGGGCAGAGGGCUCACACCACCUGGUCGGGCAGGUAAGUGAGACAGGUGGGCCACCGGCAGGGGUCCAGACCCAGCACGAAGGCUGGGGCCUGCCAUCCAGUGCCCCCCACCGGGUUCCCCAGGCCCCCAGGAGCCCUGCGGGUCCUCUCAGGACUCUGCCCAGGAGCAUAAAGGAGGCGUGGGAGGGGAGGGGAGGGGAGGGGAGGGGCCACCUGACUGGGCAGAGGCCCCCCUGUGGAGGGCCCGCACCCCCAGGGCCGUGGCGUGAGGGACAGAGACCCCCAGGCUGGGCUGAGAAGGUCAUGCUUCCCGGGGAUGGCAGCCCCUCAGGCCCAGCUCCUUUGCUCAGGACCAGGUCUGUUUCCCAGAGCCAACUCCCAGAAGAACGGCCUCCUAAAGUCCACGGGGAGCCACGUGCCCCCAGGCAGCUCGCCCCAGGCUGGGAGACACCAGACCAUCCAGCAAGGUCAGCACCUCCUAGCGGCCCGUGUGGCCAAACGCGUGUUUCAGAGAAGGCUCCUGGCGGGACUCGGACGUCACCUCCACCCCUUGGAUGGUUCCUGCAGGUUCGCGAGCGUCUUCUGCUCAUCACACAGGGGCGCCCUUUCCUGCCGGUCUUUUUACCUGACCAGGUAAAAAGUUUACUUACAAAUUCAUUAGAAAGUUGUUUCCACUGAACCCCCCCCCCCCCGCUCUUCUGCAGCACGUCUGGGGACAUGCCCACAUUUUGCCACCAUACAUAACACCCUGUGAACGUCAUUCCGCGUGAAGAUUUGUUACCAUAUUUAGAACUGGUCCCUCCGAGAGUCUGAGAAAUGCCACUGCUCAGCAGAGCCUCUCAGAACGUCGCUCUGAGCCCUGCGCCCGCCUGCCCUGCUCCCCGUGCUGUGGCCCCGCCGGCCACACCCUGCAGCCCCGGCCCGGUGCCCCCGCCCGUGUGUGUCCCCGGGUCUUUUCCUUUUCUUAAUCGUUGCUGAUUUGAAUAACAAGAAAUGGCAAU
RNAcentral lists this long non-coding RNA (3367 nucleotides) under Sus scrofa (pig). Its description in RNAcentral is "lncRNA (ENSSSCG00000053077.1)". The record is from RNAcentral. Lineage: Eukaryota; Metazoa; Chordata; Mammalia; Artiodactyla; Suidae.